This 450-nucleotide ribosomal RNA is filed under the name uncultured bacterium. RNAcentral describes it as "partial 16S ribosomal RNA". It matches the Rfam family "Bacterial small subunit ribosomal RNA", at positions 338 to 795 of the family's 1533-position model. The record is from RNAcentral.
CCUACGGGGGGCUGCAGUGGGGAAUUUUGGACAAUGGGGGCAACCCUGAUCCAGCCAUUCCGCGUGAGUGAAGAAGGCCUUCGGGUUGUAAAGCUCUUUUGUCCGGAGCGAAACGGGCGGCCCUAAUACGGUCGUCUACUGACGGUACCGGAAGAAUAAGCACCGGCUAACUACGUGCCAGCAGCCGCGGUAAUACGUAGGGUGCUAGCGGGAAUCGGAAUUACUGGGCGCAAAGCGGUAGGCCAGAUGUGAAAUCCCCGGGCUCAACCUGGGAAUGGCAUUUGUGACUGCAAUGCUGGAGUGGGGCAGAGGGGACUAGAAUUCCUGGUGUAGCAGUGAAAUGCGUAGAUAUCAGGAGGAAUACCGAUGGCGAAGGCAGGUCCCUGGGUUAACACUGACGCUCAUGCACGAAAGCGUGGGGAGCAAACAGGAUUAGAUACCCGGGUAGUC